AACGAACGCUGGCGGCGCGCCUAAUACAUGCAAGUCGAGCGAGAAGACGUAGCAAUACGUUUGUAAAGCGGCGAACGGGUGAGGAAUGCAUGGGUAACCUACCCUCGAGUGGGGAAUAACUAGCCGAAAGGUUAGCUAAUACCGCGUACGCUCCUUGGACUUCGGUUCAGGGAGGAAAGCGAUACCGUGGGUAUCGCGCUCUUGGAUGGGCUCAUGUCCUAUCAGCUUGUUGGNGAGGUAACGGCUCACCAAGGCUUCGACGGGUAGCUGGUCUGAGAGGACGAUCAGCCACACUGGCACUGCGACACGGGCCAGACUCCUACGGGAGGCAGCAGUAAGGAAUAUUGCGCAAUGGGCGAAAGCCUGACGCAGCGACGCCGC
RNAcentral lists this ribosomal RNA (381 nucleotides) under uncultured bacterium. Its description in RNAcentral is "bacterial SSU rRNA". It matches the Rfam family "Bacterial small subunit ribosomal RNA", at positions 29 to 400 of the family's 1533-position model. The record is from RNAcentral.